UACAGAGGUCCCAAGCGUUGUUCGGAUUCAUUGGGCGUAAAGGGUGCGUAGGCGGCGCGGUAAGUCGGGUGUGAAAUCUCGGAGCUUAACUCCGAAACUGCAUUCGAUACUGGCGUGCUUGAGGACUGGAGAGGAGACUGGAAUUCAUGGUGUAGCAGUGAAAUGCGUAGAGAUCAUGAGGAAGACCAGUGGCGAAGGCGGGUCUCUGGACAGUUCCUGACACUGAGGCACGAAGGUCAGGGGAGCAAACGGG
This 253-nucleotide ribosomal RNA is filed under the name uncultured bacterium. RNAcentral's name for it is "partial 16S ribosomal RNA". It matches the Rfam family "Bacterial small subunit ribosomal RNA", at positions 524 to 776 of the family's 1533-position model. The record is from RNAcentral.